This 253-nucleotide ribosomal RNA is filed under the name uncultured bacterium. RNAcentral describes it as "partial 16S ribosomal RNA". It matches the Rfam family "Bacterial small subunit ribosomal RNA", at positions 524 to 776 of the family's 1533-position model. The record is from RNAcentral.
UACGGGGGGGGCAAGCGUUGUUCGGAAUUACUGGGCGUAAAGGGCUCGUAGGCGGCCAACUAAGUCGGAUGUGAAAUCCCCAGGCUCAACCUGGGAACUGCGUCCGAUACUGGCAGGCUUGAAUCCGGGAGAGGGAUGUGGAAUUCCAGGUGUAGCGGUGAAAUGCGUAGAUAUCUGGAGGAACACCGGUGGCGAAGGCGGCAUCCUGGACCGGUAUUGACGCUGAGGCGCGAAAGCUAGGGGAGCAAACGGG